This 374-nucleotide unclassified non-coding RNA is filed under the name soil metagenome. RNAcentral describes it as "partial contains internal transcribed spacer 2 and large subunit ribosomal RNA". The stretch from base 1 to 120 matches the Rfam family "5.8S ribosomal RNA", at positions 35 to 154 of the family's 154-position model. The record is from RNAcentral.
GAUGAAGAACGCAGCGAAAUGCGAUAAUUAAUGUGAAUUGCAGAAUUCCGUGAAUCAUCGAGUCUUUGAACGCACAUUGCGCCUCAUGGCAUUCCGUGAGGCAUGCCCAUCUCGGCGUUAGAAAAUAUUCUCAAAUUUUAGUUUUGUGCUAAAAUUUGGAUCAUGUCAAGGAAGCUAUUACUAUUAUUGUGAUCGCUCUUUGGAAAUUGAUAGGUCUUUGAGUUGCUACUCAUAGAACGUGAUGAAUCUUUCUUCGUUCUAUUGUAAUUCACUCUGGUAGUCCUAAAACUUGUAUGCCUGUGGCAUAUCUUGUAAUUUGACCUGAGAUUGGGUAGGGAUACCCGCUGAACUUAAGCAUAUCAAUAAGCGGAGGA